Molecule: long non-coding RNA, 597 nt
Organism: Homo sapiens (human)
Lineage: Eukaryota; Metazoa; Chordata; Mammalia; Primates; Hominidae
Gene: DCXR-DT
Product: DCXR divergent transcript
Source: Ensembl
GCCUCAGGGACGGGUCUUUUGAAGUGCCUGGUGUGACCCAUCUUCCGUGCUUGAAAUCGACGUAGUGGACCCUGGCUAGCAUAUUUUUCCCUGCCAAGAUUAUUGCAAAAAGACGAUGUGGUGGUUAAUAUCGGAAAGAAUGUGUGGUUAAUAUCAGGAAGAACACGUGAAAUGGAGAAUUUCAGGGCUAACAUUUCUUGUUUUGUUUCUGAAAACAUCGGCAUGUCCUAAAAAGUGUCGCCUGUGCCCAUCAUCUCUCAGGCUUGGGAGCAGGACACCGCCGGCUCACUUUAAAGCCAAGGGAAAGAAUUUGGACAACCAACUACGUCUGGAGAAGACACCAAUGUCAGCAGAGCUCCGCUUUCAUCUGUGGGCGAAGGAUUACCUAGAUGCCAAGCUACCUAAAAGGGAAGCGCCCCCUGUCCUAUGAUCACGUGACUUGCUUCACCUUGUCAAUCACUUGGAAGAUUCACCCUCCUUACCCUGCCCUCCUUGUCUUGUAUGCAAUAAAUAUCAGUGCGCCCAGCCAUUCGGGGCCACUACUGGUCUCCGUGUCUUGAUGGUAGUGGUCCCCCGGGCCCAGCUGUUCUCUCUUUA